RNAcentral lists this ribosomal RNA (467 nucleotides) under uncultured bacterium. Its description in RNAcentral is "partial 16S ribosomal RNA". It matches the Rfam family "Bacterial small subunit ribosomal RNA", at positions 28 to 507 of the family's 1533-position model. The record is from RNAcentral.
GACGAACGCUGGCGGCGUGCUUAACACAUGCAAGUCGAACGGAAAGGCCUCUUUCGGGGGGUACUCGAGUGGCGAACGGGUGAGUAACACGUGAGUAACCUGCCCUUGACUUUGGGAUAACUUCAGGAAACUGGGGCUAAUACCGGAUAGGAGCUCCUGCUGCAUGGUGGGGGUUGGAAAGUUUCGGCGGUUGGGGAUGGACUCGCGGCUUAUCAGCUUGUUGGUGGGGUAGUGGCUUACCAAGGCUUUGACUGGUAGCCGGCCUGGGAGGGUGACCGGCCACAUUGGGACUGGGAUACGGCCCAGACCCCUACGGGAGGCAGCAGUGGGGAAUAUUGCACAAUGGGUGGAAGCCUGAUGCAGCAACGCCGUGUGCGGGAUGACGGCCUUCGGGUUGUAAACCGCUUUCGCUCAUGACGAAGCUUUGUGUGACGGUAGUGGGUAAAGAAGCACCGGCUAACUACGUG